GUCCACGCGGUAAACGAUGAGAACUGGAUGAGUGCCGAGUAAAAUUGGUGCGUAUCGAAGCUAACGCGUUAAGUUCUCCGCCUGGGGAGUACGGCCGCAAGGUUAAAACUCAAAGAAAUUGACGGGGGCCCGCACAAGCGGUGGAGUAUGUGGUUUAAUUCGAUGCAACGCGAAAAACCUUACCUGGUCUUGACAUGUCGAGAAGCCUACUGAGAGGUGGGCGUGCCUUCGGGAGCUCGAACACAGGUGCUGCAUGGCUGUCGU
RNAcentral lists this ribosomal RNA (264 nucleotides) under uncultured bacterium. RNAcentral's name for it is "partial 16S ribosomal RNA". It matches the Rfam family "Bacterial small subunit ribosomal RNA", at positions 793 to 1055 of the family's 1533-position model. The record is from RNAcentral.